UAUACUCUGCACCUCUCCAUAAGUGGGCUCUGCUGUUCCUCAGGGUCACAUCUACUAUUCUUCACUGUGACUAUUCAUAUUUGCUGUGUCUGCAGGGGAUCAUCGAAGUAGGCAGUUCAGGACUGAAGACCUUUCCACUCCUGCUUUAUUCUUAUUUUAUUGAUUGUAUAUUGCCAGCCAAUUGGAUAUCUGCUCCUCAAACCAGAUUGUAAAUGCUUUGGGCAGGCAGUAAGGACAGGACCCCAAUGUGUGCUGCAUUUCCUGAUGCUGAAGUUAGGGGGAAGUUAUGCUGAAGUGCAUAAAACAAACAAACAAAAAAAGUGUUUUUUUAAAUUAUCCCUAAUAUGUAAUUUUAGCAUUUAGAUAGCAAUGUAUUUAUUGCUGAAUGCGGAAUUAAAUAUACACAGGUUGAUUUUUGUAAUAGGCAAGAAAAACUAAGAUAAUUGGAAAUACUGUAGAACCUUCAUCGUUGUUCUUUCACAAACUGUUUCCUGGACCACACAUGGAGAAGCUAUCAGUUCCCAGCUCAGAACAUGAUGAUUUUAUCAGCUGCGCUGAAGCUGUACAUGGAAAGAUAGGGAUCUGGAGUCUGCAAGAGACAUCUGUUGCAAGAUAGACAAACAUCUGGGGAAAGAGGCACAGGAAGAGAGACAUCUUCAAAAAGGGACACAAAUGGACAAAUUGUUUGAAGGAAAUUACACUUGCAAAUGUAUGCUUGUAUGAUAUUCUUUUUAUGUGCCCUCUGGGUAUUCAGCAUUUCACACAAUUAAAACCUGCAGCACAGCUAAAGGGAAUAUAUAAACAUGGACUGUACAUUAAAAAUGACUUGAGAAUUGUUUGGUACCCCUAGAAGCAUAAAUAAUUGUGCUUAAACUCCAUAACACCGGGAUGCUGUCAUGAAAAUACAAAUGAUUACUUUGCUUAAAAACAAUAUGUAAGAUUGUAUUAAAUAGUGUAAUUCUGGGACAA
Molecule: long non-coding RNA, 969 nt
Organism: Xenopus tropicalis (tropical clawed frog)
Lineage: Eukaryota; Metazoa; Chordata; Amphibia; Anura; Pipidae
Exons: 2
Source: RefSeq, a predicted model, not a curated record